AAUUGCAUCUACUGUAUCAACACACCCUUUAGCAUCGAACUUCUUUAUUCAACUUGACCUUUUAAUUGAAUUGAAAAAUAAGAUUAUUUUUCAAAAAGGAUUAUUUUUCAAGAGAAUUCACAGAAGCAUCUAAGCUCAAAGGAUAUGAUUUAACUCCAACUGCAUAGACAGGGAGUUUCAACAGAUCUGAACAUCUAGGGAUCUGCAGGAGUCACCAUGGAGAACACGCAUCUGGCUUGCAGUCUUCCUAGGGACGGCCAAUUCUACAUAGGUACUUCUGGACCAAGUUCCACUCAACAGUAUAGAUUUAUCUUAACGAUGAUGCAUUUGACAUAUGAAGCUGAUUCCUUCUCUGCUGCUUUCUCCUGUUGUUUAGUAAGAGUGGAAAGAAAAUACACCGUGUAUUACUCAGUGAUGCAGUUCCAAGUGGGAGGAUGCAAGGACACAGUAAACCUUGGAUGGCAAAGAUCUGGUGCAUCACAAACUAAAGCACAUGAAGAAGCAGAUCCCUUGAGAGAGAGUUUCUCUGUCAGGAUGAGGAUGAGCUUUGGAUUGCUUGCUGACAGAGUUAACAUGUGACCAGUUCUUAGAUAGCCGGGGAUGCCAGCAAGCCAGAAGAGGAAGAAGAGAUGAAUGAAUGUGCAUUCUGCAAGACAGAAGUCUAAGAGAAAGAGAAAGAGAAAAUAAAAGACUUUUUGAAUUAAAGCA
This 708-nucleotide long non-coding RNA is filed under the name Struthio camelus australis. RNAcentral's name for it is "lncRNA (ENSSCUG00000018416.1)". The record is from RNAcentral. Lineage: Eukaryota; Metazoa; Chordata; Aves; Struthioniformes; Struthionidae.